AACGCUGGCGGCGUGCCUAAUACAUGCAAGUCGAACGGUCUUUCUAUGGAAGCUUGCUCCACUGAGAAGAUAGUGGCGAACGGGUGAGUAACACGUGGGUAACCUGCCCAUAAGAGGGGGAUAACAUCCGGAAACGGGUGCUAAUACCGCAUAGUUUUCUUGAUCGCAUGAUCGGGAAAGGAAAGACGGCCUUUGUGCUGUCGCUUAUGGAUGGACCCGCGGCGUAUUAGUUAGUUGGUGAGGUAACGGCUCACCAAGACGAUGAUACGUAGCCGACCUGAGAGGGUGAUCGGCCACAUUGGGACUGAGACACGGCCCAAACUCCUACGGGGGGCAGCAGUAGGGAAUCUUCCGCAAUGGACGAAAGUCUGACGGAGCAACGCCGCGUGAGUGAAGAAAGGUUUUCGGAUCGUAAAACUCUGUUGUCAGAGAAGAACAAGUUGGAGAGUAACUGCUCCAGCCUUGACGGUAUCUGACCAGAAAGCCACGGCUAACUACGUGCCAGCCGCCGC
This 512-nucleotide ribosomal RNA is filed under the name uncultured bacterium. Its description in RNAcentral is "bacterial SSU rRNA". It matches the Rfam family "Bacterial small subunit ribosomal RNA", at positions 32 to 518 of the family's 1533-position model. The record is from RNAcentral.